RNAcentral lists this ribosomal RNA (422 nucleotides) under Anomaloglossus mitaraka group sp. ABGD cluster 3. RNAcentral describes it as "partial large subunit ribosomal RNA". It matches the Rfam family "Bacterial large subunit ribosomal RNA", at positions 1816 to 2461 of the family's 2925-position model. Lineage: Eukaryota; Metazoa; Chordata; Amphibia; Anura; Aromobatidae. The record is from RNAcentral.
GCCUCUUGAUUUAAACCAUAAGAGGUCCAGCCUGCCCAGUGACAUUGUUCAACGGCCGCGGUAUCCUAACCGUGCGAAGGUAGCGUAAUCACUUGUCCUUUAAAUAAGGACCAGUAUGAAUGGCCCCACGAAAGCUAUGCUGUCUCCUUUUUCUAAUCAGUUAAACUAAUCUCCCCGUGAAGAAGCGGAGAUAAACAUAUAAGACGAGAAGACCCUAUGGAGCUUCAAACAACUGAAACACUUGUAUAUCCUCCCACCUACCUACAUUUAACCCCACAUUUUGUUUCUAGUUUUAGGUUGGGGUGACCACGGAGAAAAAACCAACCUCCACGACGAAAGAGAUAUUUCUAAACAAAAAGCUACAUCUUUAUGUAUUAAUACAUUAACCUUUAUUGACCCAAUAAAUUGAUCAACGAACCAAG